UAGGCGUCACUUAAUGACCUGCUGUUCAAACUAUGCUCUGCGGACAACAUUAAUAGCCUUCCCUGCAAUUGCUGUGGUUGGCCUCUGUCUGCAUAAUCAUUCAGCUUGAAAUGUUAAUCUGGUUUAUAUUUUACUACCAUAUAAAAGUGUGCCUGGAUCAGGGAAACCUGCAGUGCAAUAACCACAAUAGUGCGUGUUCCUAAAUUAAGCAUCCUUCCUUGCUGCUACACUGCAACUUCACCUGGGGACCUCUGCACUGGAUAAAUACAUGACUGCACAAAAGAAGGUAAAACAGAGCAUAUGGCUUCAUUGGGAUUUAGUUCUAACACUUUCUAAGGAAUUACUGUAGCAUUUCUUUCAGAGAAAAAGAAGUUCUCUUCCUAUCACACACACAAAGAAACUGCUGAGAGAUUUGUGUAAGCUUAUUGCAACUGUCUCCACAUUAUUGAUCCUGUGGCUGUUCUGUAAGGCAAUUG
Molecule: non-coding RNA, 476 nt
Organism: Struthio camelus australis
Lineage: Eukaryota; Metazoa; Chordata; Aves; Struthioniformes; Struthionidae
Source: RefSeq, a predicted model, not a curated record